GUGUGCCUANNACAUGCAAGUCGUACGCACUGGCCCAACUGAUUGAUGGUGCUUGCACCUGAUUGACGAUGGAUCACCAGUGAGUGGCGGACGGGUGAGUAACACGUAGGUAACCUGCCCCGGAGCGGGGGAUAACAUUUGGAAACAGAUGCUAAUACCGCAUAACAACAAAAGCCACAUGGCUUUUGUUUGAAAGAUGGCUUUGGCUAUCACUCUGGGAUGGACCUGCGGUGCAUUAGCUAGUUGGUAAGGUAACGGCUUACCAAGGCGAUGAUGCAUAGCCGAGUUGAGAGACUGAUCGGCCACAAUGGAACUGAGACACGGUCCAUACUCCUACGGGAGGCAGCAGUAGGGAAUCUUCCACAAUGGGCGCAAGCCUGAUGGAGCAACACCGCGUGAGUGAAGAAGGGUUUCGGCUCGUAAAGCUCUGUUGUUGGAGAAGAACGUGCGUGAGAGUAACUGUUCACGCAGUGACGGUAUCCAACCAGAAAGUCACGGCUAACUACGUGCCAGCAGCCGCGGUAAUACGUAGGUGGCAAGCGUUAUCCGGAUUUAUUGGGCGUAAAGCGAGCGCAGGCGGUUGCUUAGGUCUGAUGUGAAAGCCUUCGGCUUAACCGAAGAAGUGCAUCGGAAACCGGGCGACUUGAGUGCAGAAGAGGA
Molecule: ribosomal RNA, 660 nt
Filed under: Lactobacillus sp. DumLac5
Lineage: Bacteria; Bacillati; Bacillota; Bacilli; Lactobacillales; Lactobacillaceae
Description: bacterial SSU rRNA
Rfam family: Bacterial small subunit ribosomal RNA
Source: RNAcentral